This 337-nucleotide ribosomal RNA is filed under the name uncultured bacterium. RNAcentral's name for it is "partial 16S ribosomal RNA". It matches the Rfam family "Bacterial small subunit ribosomal RNA", at positions 338 to 667 of the family's 1533-position model. The record is from RNAcentral.
CCUACGGGAGGCAGCAGUGGGGAAUAUUGCGCAAUGGGCGAAAGCCUGACGCAGCGACGCCGCGUGAGGGAUGAAGGUCUUCGGAUCGUUAACCUCUUUCAGCCGGGAAGCACGGGCACUGUGCUAAUCAGCAGUGAAUUGACGGUACCUGCAAAGGAAGCACCGGCUAAAUCCGUGCCACCAGCCGCGGUAAUACGGGGGGUGCGAGCGUUAAUCGGAAUUAUUGGGCGUAAAGGGCUCGUAGGCGGUAUGUCAAGUCUAGGGUGAAAUCCCCGCGCCCAACGUGGGAGCUGCCGUUGAAACUGGCAAACUGGAGUGUGUGAGAGGAUAGCGGAAU